UUAGUUUCUGCUACCACUUAAGUGUUAAUAGCUAAUAAUAGAGCAAGCUUGAUUACUACCUUGGUGUCCUAAAACGGAUGUUGGCCUGCCAGGGAGCAGCCAAGGUGAAGUUUUCAACCAGGCCGACCAACUUCAGAGUCCACUGGCUUCAAAACAGUGCUUUACAUCCUCCUUCCAACAUUAUUCACAAGCCGAUCAAGACUGAGAGAGUCACAAGUGUGUGAAACCUGUAUUCUUUCUGACUUCAUUUUCCCUGGUCGAAAUUUUUGUAGAAUAGACAAAUCAAGAAUGAUGACUUCUUAAGAUGCAGUAUUCAAGUUCAGAAAUCUAUACUCAGAUGACCUUAUGUAGGUCAUCUGCUUCUGAGGUUUAUCUCACCAGUGUUUUAUGUGAAGAACUGCAGUAAUGAAUUCUGAAUUUGUUCAAAUCAUUGAAGAUGUGUGAAGACAAAACAUUCACUCAAAUCUCUAUCAUGUUAGCAUGUUAUUUAUCAUUGCUCUGUUCUUCAUUGUUGAAUAAUGCAAUUGAGUUAAAAAGAAUAAACAUUAUU
RNAcentral lists this long non-coding RNA (550 nucleotides) under Homo sapiens (human). Its description in RNAcentral is "HSALNT0375928". The record is from RNAcentral. Lineage: Eukaryota; Metazoa; Chordata; Mammalia; Primates; Hominidae.